RNAcentral lists this ribosomal RNA (464 nucleotides) under uncultured bacterium. RNAcentral describes it as "partial 16S ribosomal RNA". It matches the Rfam family "Bacterial small subunit ribosomal RNA", at positions 29 to 507 of the family's 1533-position model. The record is from RNAcentral.
ACGAACGCUGGCGGCGUGCUUAACACAUGCAAGUCGAACGGAAAGGCCCUGCUUGCAGGGUACUCGAGUGGCGAACGGGUGAGUAACACGUGGGUGAUCUGCCCUGCACUUCGGGAUAAGCUUGGGAAACUGGGUCUAAUACCGGAUAGGAACCAUCUUUAGUGUGGUGGUUGGAAAGUUUUUUCGGUGUAGGAUGAGCUCGCGGCCUAUCAGCUUGUUGGUGGGGUAAUGGCCUACCAAGGCGGCGACGGGUAGCCGGCCUGAGAGGGUGUACGGCCACAUUGGGACUGAGAUACGGUCCAGACUCCUACGGGAGGCAGCAGUGGGGAAUAUUGCACAAUGGGCGCAAGCCUGAUGCAGCGACGCCGCGUGGGGGAGGAAGGCCUUCGGGUUGUAAACUCCUUUCGCUAGGGACGAAGCUUUUUGUGACGGUACCUAGAUAAGAAGCACCGGCUAACUACGUG